Molecule: long non-coding RNA, 837 nt
Filed under: Homo sapiens (human)
Lineage: Eukaryota; Metazoa; Chordata; Mammalia; Primates; Hominidae
Description: HSALNT0324506
Source: RNAcentral
AGACAUCUGGGCAAGUCAACAGGAAGGUGGAUAUCCAAAUCUCUCUCUUCGCAAUGAGUUUCCAGUUAGAUGGAGGAGAGAGUAAUAAAACACAGAGCUGAGAUUCCUGACUUCACAGAUCCCUGAGGAGAUGUUUACUAAAGGGAAUCUUCUGGUCACUGUUACCUUCCUCCGUACUUACCUGCCUCAUGGAGAACCCGAAAGGAAGAAGCUAUACGACUGGGGACACAUGUCUUAGAAGCACACUCAUUAGAUAAAGUGUCGCAUACUCUUUGAUAAGGUAAGGCUCCCUGGACGAGAUGUUUUACAGGUACCAUGAGCUCAGUGAAUUGCUUUUGGAAAGACACUCAGCGGAGUGGGCACCACGAGGUUAGGAGAAGCAGCUUCUGCUCGUCAUAACUUUGGCAAAUGUUUACACAUCAGUAAUGAAAAAUAUUCUCUUGGCGAUUUCAGGCUUGUUACUAUGGAUGUUGUUUGCUAACAUUGACUAUUUUUCCUAACUGCUUAUAGAAACUCCAGGCUGUCACCCAUCUGUUCUCUCAUCAAAGUAGUUUUGGGCCAGCAACUAUUUCAGACAUUUCUACAGUUUCAGAUGUCUCACUCUGCCUAUGACUGUAUGUUGUACUUGAGGACUGGACGCACAGGGUAAAGUGCAAAUAGCAAGCAUUCAGGUCCAACUCUCCUCCUUCUGGUUAACAAUAUGAAAGAAAGAGGUAGUAUCGGAAUUAUUUUAGUUCAAUGUAGCCAUUAUAAAAUGUGUAUAUAUUUUAAAACAUCAUGUGGUACAUGAUAAAUAUAUACAACUUUUAUUUUUCAAUAAAAAAUUAUAAAAAAAGU